GAAAAAUUAAAUUAAAAAAAAAAAGAAUGAAUUUGGACCCCCAGCACUUUGGGAGACCAAGGCAUGAGCUACUGCGCCUGACCUCCUUUGACCUUCUUAAGCUGGCCCUUUCUUAGUCCUGUGGCUUCAUCUUCUGCGUUACCCUCACCCAGGCUUGCCCUCCAUCUCCAGAUUCACUAAAUGAUUUACUCUGUCUCACCUUUGGCCCACUUCACCGCAUGCUGCUUCUUCUACUGGAAAGUCUCCCUGCCUCUCUUCCCAUAUCACUUGGCUAUUUUCUCUAAUGAUCUGGCAGGUCUAGGCUUAGAUGUUACAUCUUCCAGAAAGCCUUUCCUAAAUCCUCAAGAAUGUUUUGGGAACAGCAAUUCUGUGCUCCCAAGGACCCUGUACUUAACCUCAAUGUGAUGCUUAACACACCUGUGUAUAUCUUACUCCCAUAAAAACCCUCUUCACAGAUAGGAGCUUUUUUUGUGCCUGGCAUGUAGUAGGCACUCAAUAAAUAUCUGAUGAGUCCCAGAAGUAAAGGAAGAGGACAAUUUUGAGAAGGAAGACAUAAUUAGAACUGUGUAUUGCUGCAGAAAGUUAGGGAGAAUGAGAUCUGAAAAAGUCACUGGGUUUUGACUAUUCUCGUCAUGACAAAUAGGGAAGAGUUUCAGUAGCAUUGUGGAUGCAGAGGCCAGUGUGGACACAGAAACCAGAGUUAAGGAAUGAAUUGCUGAUGAGUGAAGCUUUAGUUACAAACUUUUUUUUUUUUUUUUUGGAGACAGGGUCUUACGCUGUUGCCCAGGCUGGAGUGUAAUGGCAUAAUCAUGGCUCACUGCAGCCUCAACCUCCUGGGCUCAAGU
This 845-nucleotide long non-coding RNA is filed under the name Homo sapiens (human). RNAcentral describes it as "HSALNT0020149". Lineage: Eukaryota; Metazoa; Chordata; Mammalia; Primates; Hominidae. The record is from RNAcentral.